GUGUGUGUGUGUGUGUAUGUGUAUGUGUGUGUGUGUGUCAAGGGAAGAGCAAAAAUGAGAGAGAAGGCUCUGGUUGAGUGUCCAGAAAACCUAAAAGGAUAAUGGAGCCCCUCCCCACCGCCCCAGGCUGGUUGAAUUUCCCUGAUGCUGCAGUGUGUCCCCACCUCCAUCACCAGACUCUGUCCCUCUGGGGAAGGUCAUUCUGGGUGUGGCGUAGGAAGCACGGCUGCCUGCAAGACUGAGGGCAAUGAUACAGGCCACAUAGACUUUACUUUCAGUUGAAGUGAAAACAGAAACUUUUGAGGUUUAAAAAAUAACACUAGACUUCAUUACAUUUUUGUUCCUUCCUUGCCCCCAAAUACCACCAUAAUCAGAGCAUAAUGGAUAUCCCGUCUGGAAAUAUUCCUAGCCCAGACAGUACGAUGAAGAGCUCUCAGGCCAGACUGGGAGAGAGGCAUUAUUUUUAGGGUCAGUUAUCUCAGGAAAAGCACCAAGAGCCAAGAGGUCCUUGGCAGCAUUGCCCACCACAAUUAAGAAAACCAAUAUUCCAUUUAGCAGAAGGUCUUAGAACAUGGCUCACGCCAGUAGAGCAGUUUAUACUUUUCAAAGUGUUUUUUAAAUUAUACUUUCCUUUCUGAGUGGUUUUAUUUAUCUAACAGAUAGUCCUCUUUAAUUACGUACUCAAAAGACUUUUCCUCCCACUGAAUACAACUGCGUUUUCCAACAAUACAGCAUUGUGAUUUCUUAGAAACACUGUUUUCAGGUUUUCUGAGUCUCCCUUGUCUUUUCUGUGGUUUUUAAUAAUUUAUCCCUCCAGCCUGCUUUCUCUUGAUCUGUGGAUACAAGCUGGCCUUUCUGCUUUCCUGCCAUGCCAGUAAGAACCUAUCACAAGAUCUCACCUCUCUCUGGGUCCUCUGACUCUUGCAUUUUAGAAAUCCUCAUGUGUCUUCAUUUUCCUCCAGGUUUAGGCCACCUACCUCCAAAUCCCUCUCUUAAAGUCAUAUUCAUCUCCUGGGGAAGACCCUUCUCUCUUUCCCACGAACAUUAUGUUGAAUCUACUACAACUUUAAGUAAAAAUGUUUCACACGAUGACCUUCUGAAUAUCAGAUUUUAAAAAUGUCAUGCAACCUUUUAAAGAUCUUUAACUCUUUUUCAGAAGAAUUUCUCUGAGAAUUCUGACUUCUGUUUUCACAACUGCAUUUUGACAUCCUCAGCUCAGCUCUGUUGUACCAGUUACUUCCCCUGCAUUCCAAACCAGUUCUUUCUAUUUUCAAAAAUCCAUUCUCACUCCCAGUACUCUCUGGGCUCGUGAGCUUUUUAUCCCAGGGAAGUGAAAUCUGAGGCCUGUGCCUGGAGUGCUGCUCAGCUCCUGAACAUGGAGAGCCCAAGCGUUUAACUAGAAAGCAGCUGUGUCAUCGCAGAGCUUAUUGCCUUUCUUCCUGAAACUGCAGCAUGGGAUUCUCCAAGGCUCAACGUGCCCUCAGCCUCAGCAAGACCCUCCUCUCAUCAGCAGGAGACAAACACAAACAUGCCAGCAAGCAAGACCAGGUGCUACUUGAUCACUCCCGCAAUGAUGGCUAAAGCCUUCCAGUUCUGCACAUUUGCUUUCCUCUCUGCAAUCUUUAUUUGGGCCCCAUGAUUUCUUUAAAGAGAAAAUAAGCAUACAGAAACAGUAAUGCAUGAAAUAAUACGAUGUCUGGGAUGUUGCUUCAGAAUUAUUCAGUGCAUAGGGGGGAAGUGGGAAGUCAUAAGGAGAGAAAAUUGGCCAUGAGUUGAAAAUUGUUGAAGUCAAGUGAUGGAUAGAUACAUGGGGAUUCAUCACAUUAUUUUACUACUUAUGUGUAUGUUUGAGAAUUUCCACAAUGAUUUUUUUUUCAAAAAGAUAAUGGGUGAAGUGCUCAGAGGGGAUAGUCAAAAACAUCAUUUCCCUCACCGAGGACCUCAGCCAGAGCUGCCCUUAACAGAGCUGUCACUGAGUUACUGGCCUCAGUCAGCAUCUUGUCCUCUGCUGGGGCAGAGCUGCUUCAUGCUAGGGUGGGUGACGGCAGGUCUGGCACCUGGUCAGGGAAGGAGCUGAUGGCAGACCCCAGGCACCCUGCCCACAUAAGUGCCCUGCCUCUGAAGUCUCCAAGGCGCCCAAUGGUGGGCACUGCUGGUUUCAUUGGAGGUCUCAUAGGGCAGCCUUUAGGGGACCCCCAAGAAAGGUGUGAGGCAAACUUCUAAUGUUUCCCUGUCCUUGCCAGGGCAGAUGUAGAAUUCCUACAGAAAGCUUUUGCUUUUUUUAGCAAUUCCAGCGGAUCAUCCUCACGCUUCUGGUGCCCUCUCAUCCCAUUCUGUUAAUUCUUACACAGCCCUGACUUCCCUGCAUGGGCCAUUUCAGUUUGCUAAUACCUGGCUUUGAAAACAGCAACUGGAAGCUUGCUCAGCUAUCUCCUAAAGCCAUGGAAUUGUGGGGAACACAGGGCUCUGCCCUCCUCCGUGUGAAUCCUGUUCUUCUAUAAGUCCCCCAAUCUUUGCUGGCAGGCUGGUGAGUGGGUCCCCCUCCUCUGAUGGGGCCUGCCUGGCCCACUGCCUGGGAUAGCUGUCCAUAUGUAUACAGUUGAUCCCAGGAGGAAAGUGGGCUGAAAUCCAGCUUAUGCUCUAUGUACACAGGUCGGGGGCUGCCCAGAGAGGCUCCCACCCCUUUAAGGGCUGGAAGUCACCUUGUACUCUCAACCCCAUUCCUCUGGUUCUUAUUUUUCUCCACUCUCUGUGGAAUCCCACAGAGCCAUCUGAAUGCCAGACUUCCCACCCCCAGGUGCUGUCUCUUCUCAGAGCCAGGCCUGCCCUGGGUGGCCCUCUUUUCUCACCUGUCCCAGCCUCACUUGAACAGAAUUUUCUGUGUGUUAUCGCUGUUCACUACUCCAGCUACAGCUACUGCAGCCCCCACUAUCUCCCACCUGAAUCACACUACAGCCCCCUGUCACCCACAGUUUGGCUCCCCACCAGGGGCCCUCACCUGUAAUCUCACCUAUAGGAGCAGAUGCCAUGACUCUGUUUAACCUCUCACCUACAGGUAAACAUGAGUGUCUAGGCUGGCCUGUGGUACCCCCUGACCUGGCUUUUACCCACUGCCUUGGCCCCUUUCUUACCACCUGUUAUGUCUCUGGCCUUCUCCCUGCCCGAGAGCUCUCCUCUGCACAGGCUUUGACCUUCCUCCUCCCAGACUCAGCUCUAGGCGUCACCUCCUCCAUGGCCCCUUCCUAACCAGCUUCCAGCCCCCUGACUCCUAUGCACAUUUUCUGAUUGCUAAUGCUUUUAUAUAAACAGAUGAUGACACACAUUGCAUUUUAGAAUAUUUUCAAUUUUCAUAAAAGUUACAAAGAUAGUAGAGAGUUUUCAUCUACCCUUCACCUGUUUUCCUAUAAAGUUAUUAACAUCCCACAUUGCCAUGGUGUACCUGUCAAAACUAAGAAACCAACAUUGCUUGUUGAUGUCUUUUCAGCUGUUUUUAAACAAGGAAGUCUGGAAUUGAGUACGUAAGCAGAGCUGAAUCCACGGCUGUGAAGAGGGGAGCUGGCCACCCUGUGCAGUCUGGAUUCUCCAGGCAGAUGGUGGACAUGAGAAAGUGGCCUGCACCCUGAGUUGCCCUUUGGUGGCCUCAAGGGAGUCCAAGUUCCCAACCUCUGUCCAACAAGCUGACACUCACAGCCUUCUAGAGAUAGUGGGUGAUGUCACAAUUUGCUCCCACAGGGGACUGUGAUGGGGUCAGGGGGAGAAGAAGAAGAAAUAACAUCUAUCAAAUCAGCCCUGCCUCAAAGUUCAGCUCACCCACCAGGAAUAAAACAUUUUCUACUGAAAAUGAAGAUAGUUUCUGAGUGUCCAGAUCAAAGACAGAAACAUAAUCUGUUGCAAAAUUUCUGCUCUUCUUGAGUUGCUGAAAGUAGUUCUUCCUGGUGCUAAAAGACUGCAGCUCCUUGAGAGAAGAGAAUAUGUCAGUUUUGUUCUCUGCUGUAACCUCAAUGCUGAGAGCAGGGUACAGACUCCCAGCCAGGCUGUCCUGACCUCCUGGGGACAAUGGCCAAGGAAGAGAAGCUCCAUGAUGAAGCCAAGGAAAGAGGGGCUGGGCCCCUUCUGUCUCAAGUGACACUGGUCAGGAGCAGAUUCAGCUUCCACAUUUUUAUAACAAGGCUAUAAUACCUGUCUGAUGCAGCUAUUACAAAAUCUGAAGGAUAUAGCAACAAGGUACCAUCUUAGAAGCAGAUGCCAGACACAGCCCUCAGCAGGCACCAGAUCUACUGGCACCUUGAUUUUGAACUUCCCAGCCUCCAGAACUGAGCAAAUAAAUUUCUAUUAUUUGUAAAUCACUCAGUCUGUGGUAUUUUGUUAUAGCAGCAUAAAUGGACAAAACCAGAUAUGUAUAUAUACACUUGCCAGGACUAAUUUAUAAAGCCAAUUUAGAAGGAGAUUCUGGGCCACUGGACAGUCUGGGACAAUAUACAUGGAAAUAACUAACUCUUGAAUCACUGCACAUUUUGUGAUUCUGGAAGAUGUACAAGUAUAGGAGGUGUAAGUUGAGAGCAGUGAUCACCUUGAAAACAAAAUUAAAAAUUCAUUCUUGCAGUUGCAUUGACUAAUAUGCAAAAAUGUUGUUUAUUAGUACCAAAUACUAAUAUGAUAAAAAUGUUGAGGUCACUAACAGAAUAGAAUGCAAGGGACAUUAAUAUUUUGGGGAUGAAAACUUUCAUUUCAUGAAGUGACAGGACAUGAGGAACCUAAGCUCAAGGACAUUGCAUGACAGUGAAAGGUUUCAAAGCUGGUCGGUGGAUAACAGGGUAGGACCUAGAACCUCAAGUUCCUGAGCCCAGGCCACAGCCUCCACAUGGGCCUCUUCCUCUAAGAAAUUACUGGAAUCUUCCUGCUUGGUUGGCUCCUGUGGCCUUGCUUUCACCCAAGGUGCCAUGUGAUAUUCAUUAUUUGUGAGGAAAGAUACAUAAGAUUUCAGUGAUAUAAAUCCCAUCCACUUAAGGGAUGAGACAGAGGGUCCAGGUGGAAAAGGCUCUAGGCACUGAGUUGAACCUUGCGGGAGUCUGGCUCUGUGAGACCCAGGAGUUCCCAUUCCCUGGAGCCGAGUGGA
RNAcentral lists this long non-coding RNA (5116 nucleotides) under Homo sapiens (human). Its description in RNAcentral is "HSALNT0357824". The record is from RNAcentral. Lineage: Eukaryota; Metazoa; Chordata; Mammalia; Primates; Hominidae.